Molecule: long non-coding RNA, 1001 nt
Organism: Dermacentor silvarum
Lineage: Eukaryota; Metazoa; Arthropoda; Arachnida; Ixodida; Ixodidae
Exons: 3
Source: RefSeq, a predicted model, not a curated record
CCGAGGCAGCUGCGCUGUUUCCAUUCUAAAUCGGCUGGGCAUAGAUGGAGUAGCGCUCAGCAACACGCUUCUCGCGUUGGUUGAGAGAAAAGCGAAAAUGACGUCACCCGGGCUGUUUGACGCUGCGCGUGCGUGCCGGCUAGCAAGAAAGAAGCAGUUCAAAAGGAAGGACAACACUUCCCUUUUGAGGCACGCGCUAUCUGGGCUGCUCCCUAUGCAAAGCCGAUACAGGCCUGCUUCUUCGGCAGAAAUCCAUUCCGAGGAAAGCGCAACAGGACACCUUGGCGCUCCGACCUAGUCGACUCGCUUUCGCUUUUGUCCACGCGCGCAGCCUUUUGUCGAAAUGGAGACGCGCGUGCUCGCGCCUAUAUUUUUAGUACGUUUUCUUCUCAGACGCAUACUAUACGCAUACUAUACGUGGUCAUGGGGCGAGACGUAUGCGAGCAUCUGCGUCGCAGCUGCUACCUCCGCUAAAGCCGCGAGGUGUGUGUGCCGAUCGACCGCGUUAGCCUCUUCCUAGUGCGAACGCCAAGGCAAGGGGACGCAGACACGCCGGCGAGAUGCCUCAAAAGUGGCAACUGGUGUCUGGCCAACACCAGAAGAGAAACUCGUCAAUAAGAAAGGUCACGUGGUGCGUGCCGCAGCCGUGGAGCUUGUUAUUCUUUGGCAGUUUUACGAAAGAAAAAAAAAAAAGAGUUAACAAUAAAAUCACCACAGGCACGGCACAUGCGAAGAGUGAAAAUGCGCGAUUCGAAGGAACCAGCAAGCAACCUCGAGCCUCACAGUGUGAAAACCAUUUUGAAUGGACAUGAUGUUGAUAUCUAUUUCACACACCUGACAUCUCAUGCAGCUCAAGCAAAUGUACGUAGACUUGCUCGUGCGAGCGGUUUUUCAGUGUUCAGAGGUGCUAAUCAAGCUUCCCACGACGCAACAGAGACGGGUUCAGCACCAAGUAUUCGUGUGGCCUGAGUGUACUGAAACCAAUAAGAACGAUUCUGGGA